RNAcentral lists this long non-coding RNA (5406 nucleotides) under Sus scrofa (pig). RNAcentral describes it as "lncRNA (ENSSSCG00000061576.1)". The record is from RNAcentral. Lineage: Eukaryota; Metazoa; Chordata; Mammalia; Artiodactyla; Suidae.
AUGGAAGUUCCCAGGCUAGGGGUUGAAUCGGAGCUGUAGCUGCCAGCUACAGCCACAGCUGCAGCAAUGCCUGAUCUGAGAUGAGUCUGCAACCUCCACCACAGCUGAUGGCAACACUGGAUCCCCAACCCACUGAGUGAGGCCAGGGAUUGAACUCACAUCCUCAUGGAUAACAGUUGGAUUCAUCUCCGUUGCCCCACAAUUCAUCUCCCUCCCCCCACAAUUCAUCUCCUUCCCGUAGUGAGCUUUUAUAAAGGUUCACAGUCAUUAUUCACCAUAGGAAAGAUAGAAAGGGGGAGGAAACCCAGUCUCGUGUGUGUGUCUGAGCGUAUGCCUCUGUGUGUAUGUGUGCAUGCAUGCAUUUGUGUGCACAAGUGAGUAUGGAAUUGGGUUCCUGGGAAAAGGGAGCCUGAAGAAAUGGAACAGAGGAAGAGGAGGGCAGCAAGCAUUCCAGGAAGGGCUAAGUGGGAUCCAGGUGUUCUCAAGAGAGAUUCUUUUUCUUUGUUGCUUUCAACACAAGAAGGAGUUAAAAAGCAACCAACUGCCUGUUGGGUUGCUGUUCUUGCCUGGGCAUCGCCAUCCAGAGUUGUGAGCUUUGCUUUCAGCAGAGCGAAGAGUUUUAGGGCUUGCUAUCUCCUGAGGCUGGUGCUGGAGGGGCAUGUGGGGUUGACUCUCAGUGCUUGCUGUUCUUUUUCUUUUUGUCUUUUUAGGGCCACACUCGGGGUAUAUGGCAGUUACCAGGCCAGGGGUCACAUCGGAGCUGCAGCUGCUGGCUUAUACCACAGCUCAUGGCAACACCCUAUCCUUAACCCACUGAGCAAGGGCAGGGAUCGAACCCAUAUCCUCAUGGAUACUAGUCAGGUUCUUUACCGCUAAGCCACGAUGGGAACUCCAAUGCUUGGUUUUCUGCAGUGACCUUGUUCUCCCAGAAGUCUUCUUUCACCAUGCCUGGGGGCCACUCACAGUCCAGGGAGCUGCUAGAAUGGACCAAGCAGGCUGAAGCUGCCUAUGACCUUGUGGUUUUGGGUUCCGGAAUUUUUUUGCUUUUUUAGGGCCACACCUGCAGCAUAUGGAGGUUCUAAUCGCAGCUCUUGCUAGGGGUCUAAUUGCAGCUCUUGCUGCUGGCCGACACCACAGCCAGAGCAAGGCCAGAUCCGAACCUCAUCUGUGACCUGCACCACAGCUCACAGCAAUGCCAGAUCCUUAACCCACUGAGCAAGGUCAGGGAUGGAACCCACAACCUCAUGGUUCCUAAUUGGAUUCGUUUCUGCUGUGCCACGAAGGGAACUCCCAGGUUCCAGAAUAUUUUAACCUUGCCAUUUUAUUCCAAGGACAUUAUGAAUAUGAGACUUUUAAUAGACUCCUAUCGAUAUUAAUUGUUUUUUGUUGAAAAGGUAAUUUUCUUAAGCAGUCCCAUUAGUUGAGUUUAAUUUCUUAAUUGAUAGUCUAGCUGGCACAGUAAAUACUUCUGGAUAUAUUUCUACUUUUAAUGCAGUUAUUUUCAUUUGGAUCAGAGUCACAGAGAAACACAGAAAAGAGGGAAAGGAAAGGGGGAUGAAAAAUGGAAGACAGAGUGGAAAGCAGAGAGAAGGAAGCAGAGAAAGAGAGAAAUAUCUACACAAGUGUGUUGACACAAAAACACAAACCCAGAGACAAAGAUGUGGACCUAAAGGAAUUGGGGGUUUUACAGAGGCAGUCGCACACAGAGAGAGACAGAGAAACACAGAAAGAAAACUCCCCCACACAGGCAAGAAGACAGAGCAACAUAGAACAAAUAUUCAGGUACACCCACACUCACACACUCGGACUCCACCCCCCACCCCCCCAACCAAGGAGACAGCAGCUGUUCUGGUGUGUUGACUGCCAAAUUUUUGGAUCUGGCAGGAUCAGAAUUCCCUUAGAAUCAAGCAGUGGGGUUGAAGUAUCUUCAUGCUCCAAAUGGCAGAAUUAAGAGCAGGUAUCUAAAUUUCUUCACAGUGUGGUUGAUGCAGAGAUGUUACUAAUUUUAAUAGAAUGUUCUUUUAACCCAGGUUUGGGCAGAAGAAACCCCUUUGCUGGCUGGAGGACCACGUUUAUGGGACCUCAUGGAUUUUUUUCCUUCCAGGGGUGUGAGCAUCUUGGUUUGAAGAGAUUCUUCCUCAUCCACUGACAUACUCCCUACUCUCAUCUGUUGAGCUUUUGAGAUUGAUAGCAAACAGACAAAAUAUAGGUGUUAUCUGCUUCUCUUUGGGAAGGUGGCAAACUUUGCAAGGACUGGUGGGAUGGGGGCUGGUGGGCAAUGAAAUUUGGUAGGAGAACAGACUGACAUAAAAUGUCUGUGACUGGAGGCACCAAAUACCGUGAGACUCAUUCUAAGCAGUGUUUUUUUAUGGCUGUUUCAAGAUCUCAGAAUCCUUAUGGUUUCUUAAAUCCCAAGGAAAUGGGCCCGAAGACACAGAGAAUGUAAACUAGAUCUUUGAAAUUCCCUUUGGUUAUCCUCUGGAAACUUAUUCCUGCAGAAGUGCCUUCUGAUUGACAAAAGCUCACUUGUAUAUUCAGUCUCACCCUCUCAAGGUCUAGUCUAAAAUCACCCUCAGAGGAUAUUGUGCAGUAACUUCUAAAAUGCCCCAAUCCUCUCGAUUUAUGCAUUUAAUCUGUUGUUUUUCUCUUUCAGAGCUUUCCUUUGUACAUAAGCAAAUUCUAAUUUUGAGUGCCUAUUGUACACCCCUCCGCCAUGAUGUUGGAAAGUGUCUUUAAAAUUAGAGCUGGAAAUUCCCUUAGUUUACUUUCAAGUCCCUUGUCCCUUGGAAAUUUAUGUAAAAUUUCCCAUCCCUCCCAUUCUUCUGCUUUAUGCUCCCUUCGGAAGCAGUUAAUUAAUUUCAUUUCUCAAAGAUGCUUUGUUUCCUUAAGUAGUUCAGUCUGGCUAGUCUUCCACUGGGUAUCACUUUUCGCUGGCACUUUUACACAGAUUCAUUCAGAAAUAGCUCAUGUGGGCCAGUUGUCUGGGUUUGAUGGGACAGUCACUUAGGACUAUAGUUGGGUCUAUAUGUGUCACCCAGUCGCUCAGCAAUCAUUCAUGAGUUCCUGAUAUCGACCACACACUGAGGCCAAAAAAAAGCCUGACCUUUGUGAAUCCCUGACCCCAGCCUAUCAAGGCCCAGUGACUGAGCUGGGUGAGGUCCUUCUAGGCACUUUGGGAGAUGUCAUACUGAAAGUAGAAGACGUGAAAGCUGGUGAGUGAGGCCUACCCAGUGCCUUUGACAGGGAGUUGGGAGGCCAGGAGAAUAAUGCAUCUGUCAAACUAACGGGACUAUAAAUGGGAGAUAGAACCAAGAGUCGGUAACCAGACAAACAGCAGGUUAGAGGGGGAUUAGGGUGAGUCGGUUCCAGGAUGAGCUGUUUUUGGGAUGUUGACAGCUUAGAUUUAUGGUCCUGAAGGUACACAGUUGUGUGUAUGUUUCUGGCUGGAUUAGAGGUACAGGAUCUGGAUGGGGUCUGUCCAUCAUCCACCAUCCCUCAGGCCUUCCGUGCAAUAUGGGAUGGAAGAAGGAUAUUUUGGGAUGUUGACACUGAAGGCCUGAUUACUUUAACUUCUCCUCUGGAUUAUCUCCUUCACAUGGUUCUAGCUGUUAGAGCUGGAAAAGGUGUCUGUGAUAAUCUUGUGUUUCUCUGGUUGCCUUCUCUGGCUUCCUGUCUUGGGCUGGAAGCCAAGGUGAGGAAGUGUGGGGAAAAGGCAGGUGCAGACAGGACAGGCUAGCAGGUGGUGAAGGUGCAGAGAUGGUAUAGCCUGGGGCAAGGGUCAGUGUGGUCACUUGCAUGACUUAAGAAGUACCUGUGAAAUGGGGGGAAGGGCAGAGAUGGGAAAGAAAGAGAUGUAGAGAUGGGUGGACUAACAGAAGCCGACAGAGGUCCAGUGUAGAAGUACCUAUUAUUGUUAUUAUUAGUGAAUGUACCUAUUAUUGUUUCAGAAUCACCUUGUGGCCUUAGGAGAGUGGUAGCUUCAUUGCAAAUCUAAAAAUGAUGAUUUUUCAAGGAGUUUUCAGGACCGAGAGUGAGGGAGCUUAUCCCUCAGAGGUGCUCUACUGGGGAGGAUAGUGUGGGAUUGCAUACUGUGCAUGGAUCUCGGGGACUUCUCUGCUUCUGCUCACGCUUCCCACCCUUUGCCAAUUCCAAGCCCUGGGGCAAAAGUCAUCAUGGCCAGUUGCAUGACUUAGAGUGAGUCCAGGCUUCCGUGUGGUGUAUGAAGCCAGGUGUUUGGAUAGAGCUGGGUCUUUGGUAGAAGAGAACCACUUAACACUCAGUCUAUUAAGGGGAUGCCCAGAAUGCCUCAAGCCACACCAGACGUUGGACAUAAGCAACCUCUGCUUUUCACACUAAAUUACCUUAAUUGAUUCCACCUGAGGCUGAACGGAGGCACCAAUUUCUGGGCACAGAAGUUUUUGGAGCUGGAUGUUUUACUGUUGCCUUGUAGAAAUCUGCUUAGUGGUUUGAAUGACUAGCAUUAACAAUAAUUCCAUCUCAUCUGAAGGUCCAGAAGUGAGAAAGUUGACAUUCUAACACAGGCCAACAUGGGACACAGAUGACAUGGUCGUAGAUGACAGAUGACGGAUGACAUGCUUUACCAGUAGAAUGUGGCAGAAAUGACAGUGCUAGGCCUGAGCUUUAUAAAGGCAAGGUUGUUUCCCUGUGUGCUUUGGGGAGUCCUGAGUUGCCUUGUAAUAGGAGAGGCAUAGCAGCUGGGAUUUAGACCUUUGUGGAUUCCAGCUGAGUCCAGUUUUCUGGUCAACCUUGCCAAUGUGCCAGACAGAUGAGCUUAAUGUUGAUAUCCCCUUUGAUAUCCCAGAUACCUACAGAUGUAGCCAGCAUCACAUGGAGCAGAAGAAUCACCCAUCCUAGCCCAAUUAGUGCACAGAACUUUUAGAGAUAAUAAAACAUUUGCUGUUUUAAGCCACUAAGAUUUGGGGCGGUGUGUUGUACAGCUGUAGCUAACCAAAACAAGAGAUACAUCCUUUAUAGUUUUAUUUAUUACAGAAGUUAGCAGAUUGUGACUCAUGGACCAAAUCUGGCCCCCUGCCUAUUUUUGUAAAUAAAUUUUUAUUAGAACAUAGCUCUAUUCGUCUAAGUAUUACCUAUGGUGGCUUUUGCAGAGUUGAGUAAUUGUAAAAAAGAACACAUAUAGGCUGCAAAGCCAAAAAAGAUUAACUCUUAGAUCCUUUUUAAACAGUGUUUGGUUUGCUUGGCCAUAAUCUGUUAUACUAAUCUACAAAAAAAGCUGAAAGAUAAGCAGAAACGAUCUCUUUUAAAACAGUGUGCAAAACCCAGGGUACAGAAACUAGUGGUAUAUGGGAAAUGCCUUGUCUUUCAUGGUCAGAAGUUUUAAAUGCACUUGUGUCGUUUGGCUCAAUUUCUUGAGCCCAUGCUGUUCUG